AGCUGUGGCUAGGGGUGAAAGGCCAAUCAAACUCGGAAAUAGCUGGUUCUCCGCGAAAUCUAUUGAGGUAGAUCGUCGGAUGUUUACCCUCGGGGGUAGAGCACUGGAUGGGCUAGGGGGUCCCAAAGACUUACCAAACCCAACCAAACUCCGAAUACCGAGGAGUAUGAGUGCGGCAGACAGACGGCGGGUGCUAAGGUCCGUCGUCGAGAGGGAAACAGCCCAGACCGCCAGCUAAGGUCCCCAAGUACUAGUUAAGUGGGAAACGAUGUGGGAAGGCACAGACAGCCAGGAGGUUGGCUUGGAAACAGCCACCCUUAAAAGAGUGCGUAAUAGUUCACUGGUCGAGUGGUCCGGCGCGGACAAUGUAACGGGGCUCAAGCACUGAGCCGAAGCCGCGGACCUCAGCAUUAGCUGGGGUGGUAGGGGAGCGUCGAACGGGCAGCGAAGCGGGGGUGUAAACCGUCGUGGAGCCCGUUCGAGUGAGAAUGCUGGCAUGAGUAGCGAGAGAGGGGUGAGAAACCCCUCCGCCGUAAACCCAAGGGUUCCUGGGGAAGGCUAAUCCCCCCAGGGUAAGUCGGGAGCUAAGGCGAGGCCGAGAGGCGUAGUCGAUGCACAACAGGUUGAUAUUCCUGUACCACCGUGUCCACGCCCAUUCCAAGAUGGGGGUACUAAGGGGCUGAUCUUCGGAUCGAACUGACCAACCCCGUGGAGGAAAGCGAAGGAGGGACGGAGGAGGAUAGGUGAGCCCAGGCGUUGGUUGUCCUGGGGUAAGUGCGUAGGGCGAGGUGUAGGUAAAUCCGCACCUCAUGAUGCCUGAGACACGAUGCCGAGCCAUUAGGCGAAGUCACUGAUUCCAUGCUCCCAAGAAAAUCUUCUAGCGAGUUGACACGGUGCCCGUACCCCAAACCGACACAGGUGGNNGGGUAGAGAAUACCAAGGCGAUCGGGAGAACUGUGGUUAAGGAACUCGGCAAAAUGCAUCCGUAACUUCGGGAGAAGGAUGGCCUUACUAGCGUGUAGGACUUCGCGUCCGUAGCGUGAGAAGGUCGCAGAGAAUUGUGGGAAGCGACUGUUUACCAAAAACACAGGAGCGUGCUAAGUCGUAAGACGCCGUAUACGCUCUGACGCCUGCCCGGUGCUGGAAGGUUACGGGGACUGGUCAGCUCUUUUGAGCGAAGCUAGGAACCUAAGCCCCAGUAAACGGCGGCCGUAACUAUAACGGUCCUAAGGUAGCGAAAUUCCUUGUCGGGUAAGUUCCGACCUGCACGAAUGGCGUAACGACUUCCCAACUGUCUCAACUAGAGACCCGGCGAAAUUGAAGUACGAGUAAAGAUGCUCGUUAGCUGCAUCAGGACGGAAAGACCCCGUGCACCUUUACUACAACUUGAUGUUGGGUUUUGGUUUAGUUUGUGUAGGAUAGCUGGGAGGCUUUGAAGCAUCGGCGCUAGUCGGUGUGGAGCCAACGUUGAAAUACCAGCCUUUCUACGCCGGAACCCUAACCUUGGUCCGUAAUCCGGAUCAGGAACAGCGUCAGGCGGGUAGUUUGACUGGGGCGGUCGCCUCCUAAAUUGUAACGGAGGCGCCCAAAGGUUCUCUCAGGCUGGUUGGCAAUCAGCUGUUGAGUGCAAUGACACAAGAGAGCUUGACUGCGAGACCUACAAGUCGAGCAGGUACGAAAGUAGGNNGGUACGCCGGGGAUAACAGGCUUAUUUCCCCCAAGAGUCCAUAUCGACGGGGAAGUUUGGCACCUCGAUGUCGGCUCGUCGCAUCCUGGGGCUGAAGCCGGUCCCAAGGGUUGGGCUGUUCGCCCAUUAAAGCGGUACGCGAGCUGGGUUCAGAACGUCGUGAGACAGUUCGGUCCCUAUCCGAUGCAGCCGUAAGUGAAUUGAGAAAGGUUGUCCCUAGUACGAGAGGACCGGGACGAACGCAGCUCUCGUGUGACAGUUGUCCUGCCAAGGGCAUGGCUGUUUAGCGACCUGCGGGUGGGAUAAGCGCUGAAAGCAUCUAAGUGCGAAGCCCGUUUCAAGAUAAAUUCACUCACUGGGUUAACCAGGUAAGGCCCGUGGCGAGAUCACCACGUUGA
Molecule: ribosomal RNA, 2085 nt
Filed under: Acidimicrobiaceae bacterium
Lineage: Bacteria; Bacillati; Actinomycetota; Acidimicrobiia; Acidimicrobiales; Acidimicrobiaceae
Description: bacterial LSU rRNA
Rfam family: Bacterial large subunit ribosomal RNA
Source: RNAcentral